AACGAACGCUGGCGGCAGGCCUAACACAUGCAAGUCGAGCGCGCCCUUCGGGGUGAGCGGCGGACGGGUGAGUAACGCGUGGGAACGUGCCCUUUUCUACGGAAUAGCCUCGGGAAACUGAGAGUAAUACCGUAUACGCCCUUUGGGGGAAAGAUUUAUCGGAAAAGGAUCGGCCCGCGUUGGAUUAGGUAGUUGGUGGGGUAAUGGCCUACCAAGCCGACGAUCCAUAGCUGGUUUGAGAGGAUGAUCAGCCACACUGGGACUGCGACACGGCCCAGACUCCGACGGGAGGCAGCAGUGGGGAAUCUUAGACAAUGGGGGCAACCCUGAUCUAGCCGUGCCGCGUGAGUGAUGAAGGCCUUAGGGUUGUAAAGCUCUUUCAGCUGGGAAGAUAAUGACGGUACCAGCAGAAGAAGCCCCGGCUAACUCCGUG
This 433-nucleotide ribosomal RNA is filed under the name uncultured bacterium. RNAcentral describes it as "partial 16S ribosomal RNA". It matches the Rfam family "Bacterial small subunit ribosomal RNA", at positions 29 to 507 of the family's 1533-position model. The record is from RNAcentral.